AACUAGAGCCUAGGUAUUUUGCCUUUCAUCCACUGAGACUUGGGAAAGGGUUUUGCUACUACCACCGUUCCCUGCUCCCCUUUAUUUUCUUCUACUAAAGUAGAAGAAAAAUACCCCAAGUUCAGGUUUCCCUUGGCUAAUUGCUCAGGAAAGUACAGGCCACCCCUUCACACCCUGGCAAGUGGACAGUUAUUUGCAAGUGAGGGCUGGGGCCAUUUCCUGGUUCUUGGGUGGCAGAGGUGUUUGCUACAGAAUUUAAAGGCUGUAAUAACUAUUGAACACCCUAUUAUCUGGCUGCCUAAUUAAUGUAAAUGAUAGUUAUGCCACGCUCACCGAGGAUUAUGUUACUCAGAGGAAAAUCUGCUAACAGCCACAAGACCGUUCUAGUCGCUUUUAUGGAAGCAGGCACAUUAUGGCUUCAUGGAGUAAAAGAGAUCAGGCACUGUGAGCUAUUUUGCCCUGGAGCUACAUCUUCAUCACAGUGGCACAGACUUAAAAGGGCUCAGCACUAUGGACUUCUGGACCUCACUGCAAGCUUGUUCCAGGGCCUGGGACUUUAAAGGAAGAAGACACAUUGCUGACAUGAGAAAAAUUCACAGAAGAAAUAAAGUGAAGAAUGGUAUCUCUAGAUCUGCA
This 636-nucleotide long non-coding RNA is filed under the name Monodelphis domestica (gray short-tailed opossum). RNAcentral's name for it is "lncRNA (ENSMODG00000046765.1)". The record is from RNAcentral. Lineage: Eukaryota; Metazoa; Chordata; Mammalia; Didelphimorphia; Didelphidae.